AUUUAUUGAACCCACUCCAUCACAAAGUUUUGACCUACACGGUCUUUGACAAAGACCAUGUAGGUCGAAAUGUUGUGAUGGAGUGGGUUCAAUAAAU
Non-coding RNA from Pelobates cultripes (western spadefoot toad), 97 nucleotides. NCBI's taxonomy places the organism in Eukaryota, Metazoa, Chordata, Amphibia, Anura, Pelobatidae. The record is from the annotation of a GenBank genome assembly.